Molecule: long non-coding RNA, 842 nt
Organism: Apodemus sylvaticus (European woodmouse)
Lineage: Eukaryota; Metazoa; Chordata; Mammalia; Rodentia; Muridae
Exons: 5
Source: RefSeq, a predicted model, not a curated record
GACUGUAGGGUAGGCUGUAAGGUAAGACUGUAGGGUAGGCGGUAAGGUAAGACUGUAGGGUAGGCGGUAAGGUAAGACUGUAGGGUAGGCGGUAAGGUAAGACUGUAGGGUAGGCGAUAAGGUAAGACUGUAGGGUAGGCUGUAAGGUAAGACUGUAGGUAGGCUGUAAGGUAAGACUGUAGGGUAGGCGGUAAGGUAAGACUGUAGGGUAGGCUGUAAGGUAAGACUGUAGGGUAGGCGGUAAGGUAAGACUGUAGGGCAGGCGGUAAGGUAAGACUGUAGGGUAGGCUGUAAGGUAAGACUGUAGGGUAGGCUGUAAGGUAAGACUGUAGGGUAGGCUGUAAGGUAAGACUGUAGGGUAGGCUGUAAGGUAAGACUGUAGGGUAGGCUGUAAGGUAAGACUGUAGGGUAGGCUGUAAGGUAAGACUGUAGGGUAGGCUGUAAGGUAAGACUGUAGGGUAGGCUGUAAGGUAAGACUGUAGGGUAGGCUGUAAGGUAAGGUUGUAGGGUAGGCUGUAAGGUAAGGUUGUAGGGUAGGCUGUAAGGUAAGGUUGUAGGGUAGGCUGUAAGAUGCAUGAGCUGAAGCAUCCCCACACUCAGGGGUCAGAGGCAGGGGGAUCUUUGUGAGUUCAAGACCAGCCUGAUCUACAGAUUGAGUUCCAGAACAGCCAGAGCUACACAGAGAAAACAGAACAGAGGGAGAGGGAGAGAGCGCAGGGAAGGACGGAAAGAAGGAAGGAAGGAGAGUGAGCUGAAAGAUUCCAAGCCAUUGAGCUUGGGGCUGGGCCUCGGGCUCAGUGCUGGGCCGCUUGCCUCGCCCACUAAGCUGUAGAUUCAGUUAC